CCUACGGGGUGCUGCAGUGGGGAAUAUUGGGCAAUGGACGGAAGUCUGAACCAGCAAAGCCGCGUGAAGGAAGAAGGCAUACGGGUUGUAAACUUCUUUUAGGGGGGAAGCGCAGAAGACGGUACCCCUUGAAUAAGCGACGGCUAACUACGUGCCAGCGGCCGCGGUAAUACGUAGGUGGCAAGUAUUGUCGGGAUUUACUGGGUGUAAAGGGCGUGCAGCCGGAGAGACAAGUCAGAUGUGAAAUCAACAGGCUCAACCCGUGAACUGCAUUUGAAACUGUUUCCCUGGAGUAUCGGAGAGGUAAGCGGAAUUCCUAGUGUAGCGGUGAAAUGCGUAGAUAUUAGGAAGAACACCAGUGGCGAAGGCAGAGGACGGGCCGACAACUGACGGUGAGGCGCGAAAGCGUGGGUAUCAAACAGGAUUAGAUACCCCGGUAGUC
Molecule: ribosomal RNA, 442 nt
Filed under: uncultured bacterium
Lineage: Bacteria
Description: partial 16S ribosomal RNA
Rfam family: Bacterial small subunit ribosomal RNA
Source: RNAcentral